Beta vulgaris subsp. vulgaris (sugar beet) is the source of this 847-nucleotide long non-coding RNA. RefSeq lists it as uncharacterized. Lineage: Eukaryota; Viridiplantae; Streptophyta; Magnoliopsida; Caryophyllales; Amaranthaceae. The record is from RefSeq and is a predicted model, not a curated record. The transcript has 2 exons.
UCUUAUUGUAUCAAGAGGUUGAUAUUUUAGGAUUUAAAGAAAUAAAAGAGUUUUUGUUUCUUGUGGACGUAGAUCUCAGAGGUGAGAUUGAACCACGUUAUAUCCUGAGUUUGAGUAUUGAUUUAAUAUUGUUUUAGUUUUAAUCUUCGCAAAAACUCAAAUCAGAGAUUUACGAUUAUUUCGCACAGUGGCUGGCACUGUGCAAUAACAAAGGUUUUGCGAAAAUCGAUCAAAUUUCGUCACUCAAUUCAACCCCCCCUUCUUGAGUGUCACCUUGGGUUCCAACAAGCAUCAUUAUGAUCCUUCGUCAGCUGGUUAAUCUGGCCAAUUAACUUAUUUGACUUCUCUUCGAAGUUAGCCUGAUCAUUGUCAAUGGCCCUUAUCGCCCUUGUUAGCUCACACUCGGACUUGUGAAGCCUUGUCUCCAAGUCCUUCACAAUAGCCUCAUGCUGCUGAGCCGCAACCUCCAGAUUAUACCCUGGCGGACAACCUCUGAUUCUGCGCAACUAAAGCUAUAUGGCGGCGCCCGAGCAUAGUCAUUCGAAUGGACAUCUACAAAGAUAGGAAAAGAAGCUAGAGAUACAUUCGAAGUUUUCUUGUGCACUGUCGUCUUGCCGCAUCACCGUCGCUACCGGUCAACUGCACAACCAUCGCAUCGUCGUUUCUAGGUUUGUUGCGCCAAUCCACAACAGGAAAAUGUGAUUUUAUCAUCUUAUGUUCUUCUGUCAUGAACAUGCCGCAUCACCGUCGCCACGAGUUUUGUUGUUCAUCACGACGAGAUGAAUUUGUUUUCAUGUAUUCCUUUUUUUUAUAUAAGUAAUUAUAUAUAACGAGGUAUUCUUAUUGA